CCUACGGGAGGCAGCAGUGAGGAAUAUUGGUCAAUGGGCGCGAGCCUGAACCAGCCAAGCAGCGUGAAGGAGGACUGCCCUACGGGUUGUAAACUUCUUUUAUAAAGGAAUAAAGUGAGGCACGUGUGCCCUUUUGUGUGUACUUUAUGAAUAAGGAUCGGCUAACUCCGUGCCAGCAGCCGCGGUAAUACGGAGGAUCCGAGCGUUAUCCGGAUUUAUUGGGUGUAAAGGGAGCGUAGAUGGGGUGUUAAGUCAGAUGUGAAAGUUUGCGGCUCAACCGUAAAAUUGCAAUUGAUACUGGCAGGCUGGAGUGCAGUUGAGGUAGGCGGAAUUCGUGGUGUAGCGGUGAAAUGCUUAGAUAUCACGAAGAACUCCGAUUGCGAAGGCAGCUUACUAAACUGACACUGACGUUGAGGCUCGAAAGUGUGGGUAUCAAACAGGAUUAGAUACCCCGGUAGUC
RNAcentral lists this ribosomal RNA (460 nucleotides) under uncultured bacterium. RNAcentral's name for it is "partial 16S ribosomal RNA". It matches the Rfam family "Bacterial small subunit ribosomal RNA", at positions 338 to 795 of the family's 1533-position model. The record is from RNAcentral.